GGCACCGUAGCUCAGCAGGUCAGAGCGCGUCUCUCAUAAGGACGAGGUCGGCAGUUCGAGACUGCCCGGUGCUA
RNAcentral lists this transfer RNA (74 nucleotides) under bacterium. RNAcentral describes it as "tRNA-Met". The record is from RNAcentral. RNAcentral also lists the same sequence under 1 other name.